Long non-coding RNA from Alligator mississippiensis (American alligator), 788 nucleotides. RefSeq lists it as uncharacterized. The record is from RefSeq and is a predicted model, not a curated record. Lineage: Eukaryota; Metazoa; Chordata; Crocodylia; Alligatoridae. The transcript has 3 exons.
AUGCGCGGGGGCGGGAGAGCUGUGCCUAUAGGAGGGGAGGGGGAGAGAAAAAACUUAGGAGAGUGCUUGUGCGUAUGCGCGGGGGUGGCCGGUGUAUGCUACGCAGCUGUCGUAGCCUCAGGGGUGAAGGGAAUCUGAGUGGGGUGCUCUAGCUUGUAGGGCACCUCGUGCCCCUGUGAACCAGGGUUCCCCCUGUUCUCCCCUCUGCCUGCUGUUGCCAUAGAAAAAGAACUAGCCUUUGCUCCCUUUCCCUUCUAAGCAACCUUCUGCCCAUAAUCCCAGUAGCUAGAAACACCCAAGCUGGGAUGCCUGGGAAACACCUCGACCCUGAGCACUGGUGCUGCACAGAGCAAACCAACCAACUGGAGCCCAAAGAAAAGCAAAGACCAUCCACCUCCCUGAAUGACGUGAACUCCCUGCAGGCUGUCAGAGGAAGACACUGAGACAGGGGGCACCGCAUGCUCCAGCAGCCAUGCCAUGUCAUGCCUACAGGGCUGCAGAGGUCCUGGGGCAGGGAAGCACAGCUGGAGCCCAUGCCUGCAGACUGCGCCUGCUCCAUGUACAGAUCUGGGGGUCCUGGUCCCCCCUGCCUGUGGGAGUGUGCGCGGCUCAUGAGGUCCUUCCAGUCCUACUCUUCUAGGAGUCUAUGACACAUUAAUUUCUUAGGAAGAUGUCUGAUGAAGGCGAUUGGUCAUCAGGUUACCUGGUGAAAAAUGUCUUGCAUUCAAAAGCUUGUCUAACUAUCCCAACUAUGCAGUUGGUCCAAUAAAAGAUAUAACACUACAAAA